UACAGAGGUCCCAAGCGUUGUUCGGAUUCACUGGGCGUAAAGGGUGCGUAGGUGGCCGGGUAAGUCUGGUGUGAAAUCUCCGAGCUCAACUCGGAAACUGCAUUGGAUACUAUCCGGCUAGAGGAUCGGAGGGGAGACUGGAAUACUUGGUGUAGCAGUGAAAUGCGUAGAUAUCAAGUGGAACACCAGUGGCGAAGGCGAGUCUCUGGACCAGUACUGACGCUGAGGCACGAAAGCGUGGGGAGCAAACAGG
Molecule: ribosomal RNA, 253 nt
Filed under: uncultured bacterium
Lineage: Bacteria
Description: partial 16S ribosomal RNA
Rfam family: Bacterial small subunit ribosomal RNA
Source: RNAcentral